RNAcentral lists this microRNA precursor (83 nucleotides) under Caenorhabditis elegans. Its description in RNAcentral is "mir-266 microRNA precursor family". It matches the Rfam family "mir-266 microRNA precursor family". Lineage: Eukaryota; Metazoa; Nematoda; Chromadorea; Rhabditida; Rhabditidae. The record is from Rfam by way of RNAcentral.
AGGCAAAAGUUGGGCAAGACUUUGGCAAAACUUGGAUUUAGGCUGCACCAAAGUUUAACCCAAACUUCACCCAACUCUUUCCA